Molecule: ribosomal RNA, 711 nt
Filed under: uncultured eukaryote
Lineage: Eukaryota
Description: bacterial SSU rRNA
Rfam family: Microsporidia small subunit ribosomal RNA
Source: RNAcentral
AGAUGCUGCAGUUAAAAAGUCCGUAGUCUUAGAAAUAUAAAUCGGGAUAUGAUAUCUCAGAAAGAUAUGAUAGAGGAGCCAAUGGGGAACAUAGUAUACAAGGGCGAGAGAUGAAACGUCAAGACCCCUUGUGGACUAAGCGAGGCGAAAGCGAUGUUCUUGUGGGUAUCUGAUGAUCAAGGACGAAGGCUGGAGGAUCGAAAGUGAUUAGAUACCGCAGUAGUUCCAGCAGUAAAAGAUGCCGACAUGCCGAUUGGAAACAGUCGGCAGGGAGAAAUCUUUAGAGUUCGGGCUCUGGGGAUAGUAUGCUCGCAAGAGUGAAAAUUAAAGAAAUUGACGGAGCUACACCACAAGGAGUGGAUUGUGCGGCUUAAUUUGACUCAACGCGAGGAAACUUACCAGGGGCAAGUAUUGUGUAGAAAUGAGCAAUACAGAAGUGGUGCAUGGUCGUUGGAAAUUGAUGGGAUGACUUUGAGCUUAAAUGCUUGAAUGAGUGAGAUCUUAAGACAUGUUUUCUACAAAACAGGAAGGAAGAGGCUAUAACAGAUCAGAGAUGCCCUUAGAUGCCCUGGGCUGCACGCGCAAUACAAUAGCACAUAAAUAAAAAGAUAGGAAAGUGUUUUGAUGGAUUAUGUGUUGUAAGACAGAUAUGAAAGAGGAAUUCCUAGUAAGUAUGUAUCAUCAAUGGAUAUUGAAUAAGUCCCUGUAGCU